CUUUCGGAGCUGUGAGGCGACUG
This 23-nucleotide non-coding RNA is filed under the name Cricetulus griseus (Chinese hamster). The record is from RNAcentral. Lineage: Eukaryota; Metazoa; Chordata; Mammalia; Rodentia; Cricetidae.